UCUAGUUUAGAUUGGUGUUCUUUCCACAGGAAAUAAAUUAGAUAUGUUUUACUCUUUCUUCCAUCAACUUCUAACUGUAUAAGCGGUUUCCUUCUGCUGGAUUCAGGUUAAUUUGUUCUUUUUCUAGUUUCUUAGGUUUGGAUUGCUUCAACAGUUUUAUCAACUCUCCACUAUGUGACAGACACUGUACUAGAACUAGGAUUAUAGGAGCGCCUGGGUGGCUCAGUCGGUUAAGCGUCCAACUUCAGCUCAGGUCAUGAUCUCUGUUUGUGAGUUCGAGCCUGCUUUGGAUUCUGUCUCCUACUCUCUCUGCCCCUCCCCACUUGUGCUCUCUGUCUCUCAAAAAUAAAUAAAUGAAAAAAUUAAAAAAAAAAAAAGAACUAGGAUUAUAAGUGUAAUCUUGUGAGACAAUUAUCAAUUGUUAGAUAGUGACUAUUAAGCAAAACAAAGUUCUGGCCCUAAUUCUUCAUUUCCUGCAUUUAUUAAAGAGUACUAAUUUCCCACAAGAUGACCUUCCAAAGAUGACUUUGAUCACCUCCUACAGGUUUUAAUAUAUAGCAACUCAUUAUCGCUCAUAUCUGAAUGAACUAUUUCAACUCUGGUCUUCACUUUGAAUCAAACAAAUAAAAUAUAAAUUUCCAAGGUGGGGUUUAGAAUCACUUCACAGAUUACUUCCUAAUUGUAAGGAUACAAAACAACCUUUAAAAUGGAGAGAUUUGACCGUCAUCACCUUAACCAUUUGACCAAAUUUGGCCUCAUGAUAUCAAUAUGUGCCUCUUGAUGUAUGACAAUGCAAAAUACAUAAUUUAUUAAAUAUUCUUACAAAAUUGUUUAACACAAAUUCAAUCUUCUCUCUACACUUAAUUUCCAGUAUAGAUGGCAGAAUAAGUUAAAUGACAACAUUAGGAAACAAGCACAACAAUCCAAAAUAUGGAACACCCUACAAGAUAACUACAUGGACUCUAAGAAGAAAAAGCCAACAUCGUGGAAAAAAAGGAGUAAAGAUGGAAAUGAAGUUGAUCCAAACAAGCUCGGUUAAAUGUACAAAUAGAAAAGCUUCUUGUGGUUGCCUUCAUUCCCUGACUCAUGGGACAUCUUGUGCUAGACUCAUAUGGAAGUAGAUUGCCUAUCCUUACAUAGGUGAGUGAUCUUUAUUAUAAAAUUAAUGCAUUAAUUUUCUUACUAUUUUAUAACACUGCUUUUAAAUAAUUAAGUCACUGCAAGUAUGCCUCUCUCUCAUAAUUGGAGAAACUGCUUAUCAGCCCAUGAUCACAGGUAAGUGGCUUUUUUAAUGUAACAAUGUUUCUAAUGCUGUAUUAUGAAUAUGACUGUAAUAAUAUAUGCCAUAAAAAUUCUGUAAUGAUUCAUUCAUUAAAGUAUAGGUUAGGUUACCAUGAAGCAAUCACAUCUUUACACUAGGCUAACAUGAGGCAGUCAUAUUGCUGCUUUUUCAGUAUCAAUGCAUGAAUUGUUACACUUGUAAAUAUAUAUGAAUUUCUUUUUCAAAUUACCUUUUCAUUUUUGAUGUCCAGUGUUGGUAAUAUGUAUAAUAUCUACAGUGUUUUGUAUCAUAGAAGACAAUUUUGAUAUAGGUGCUGACAGACAAUUCAUCUUGUAAACAGACAACAUAAACUCAGGAUAUCAAUAAAUACAGUACAGUUCUAUAAAUGCAUUUUCUCUUCUUUAUGACUUUUUUAACAACGUAUUCCUUUCUCUAGCUUACUUCAUUGAGAGAAUAUAGUAUGUGGAUACAUAUAACAUACAAAAUAUAUCAAUUGACUCUUCAUGUUAUUGGUAAGGCUUCUAGUCAACAGUAGGCUACUAGCAGGUAAGUUUUGGGGGGAGUCAUAGGUUAUACACAGAUUUCAACUAUGUGGGGUGGGGGAUUGGCGCCCCUAACCUCCUUCAUGAUCAAGGUUCAACUGUAUACUAUGAGUCUGGAGCAAAGAAGCCAUCAAAGACUCCUAGUCACAUCAAAAAGGAAACAAUCUGAAGAGGCUCCCACUGAUCACACACGGGGCAAUUUGAAUAUAAAUUUAAGACUAGUAACCAUAAUAAUAAUUGUAAUAACUGCUGAAACAUCAAAGUUUUUAAACCUAUGAAUUCAUAAUGAUAAUUUUUAAAUUAUUUGGUAAUUUUUAGAGGAUGAAAUCAAGAAUGGCUGCUAACAUCACAAAAAGAGAAACAACGAGACAGUAUAUGCUUUCUGAUGAAACACACAAUAUUAAUUUAGCUUGCUUAUAGAAAAUA
Long non-coding RNA from Neofelis nebulosa (Clouded leopard), 2250 nucleotides. RefSeq lists it as uncharacterized. NCBI's taxonomy places the organism in Eukaryota, Metazoa, Chordata, Mammalia, Carnivora, Felidae. The transcript has 3 exons. The record is from RefSeq and is a predicted model, not a curated record.